This 621-nucleotide long non-coding RNA is filed under the name Homo sapiens (human). RNAcentral describes it as "HSALNT0361398". Lineage: Eukaryota; Metazoa; Chordata; Mammalia; Primates; Hominidae. The record is from RNAcentral.
AAAGGAGGUGACUAGGUUCUCUUUUCUUCCAAAGUCAAAACCAGAUAGGAAACCUUUGAAGAUGCAUAGGAACAUGUCAUGGUAGGGUGGUGGGCUCCUCUUCAGAUCCCACAUAGCAGCUGGGGCCAGCCAGGGCGAGAUCAAGGGUGAAUGUAGGUAGAUGCCAGCAAGGGAAGAGCAUGAUCAGAGACUAUGAGUGGGCUGGGAGUGAGGGCAGGAGCCAGGAGGCAGGACCAGAGCUGACAGAAACCAGAGAACAGGCACUAAAGCAGGAAAAAUACCCCCACACGUGCCACAGGAGGCCAUGCCUUGCCAGUAUGAGGACUCACCAGAAUUUACAAUGAGAUGGAAUGAAGGAACUACACAGGGCUAGGAAGGGAUUCUCAAAUUGUGAUUGCAACCUGUCUACCCCUAUUAACAGCAACAUUUAUUGAGUAAAGUGUCAGGCCCUGUACCAAGAUUUAAUUUAGAUUUAAUUGUCUCUGGAGCCUUGCCGUGGAGGUAGUGUUCGUCUUGGCCUUUGACUACCUGGGAGAAAAAAUAAAUUAUUUCCAUAAAUACAGUGAUCAGAGUCAAAAGAAGUCACAGUGUGUAUUAGUUAUCUAUUGCUGCACAGUAGAU